RNAcentral lists this small RNA (77 nucleotides) under Arabidopsis thaliana (thale cress). Its description in RNAcentral is "ATSL207030". The record is from RNAcentral. Lineage: Eukaryota; Viridiplantae; Streptophyta; Magnoliopsida; Brassicales; Brassicaceae.
AAUAUAUCCCUCGCAAAAUUUUCUUCUUCCUCUUGUUUUUCUUCUUCUCUAGUAGAACUGGCAGAAACUCUUUCGAU